This 131-nucleotide small nucleolar RNA is filed under the name Octodon degus (degu). RNAcentral's name for it is "Small nucleolar RNA SNORA63 (ENSODEG00000022651.1)". Lineage: Eukaryota; Metazoa; Chordata; Mammalia; Rodentia; Octodontidae. The record is from RNAcentral.
AGGCAGGAUCUAGUCACGGUGUAGCGGCGAAGUGCUGCACUGUUUGUGUUUCCUGCUCUAAAUAAAACUGUCACCUUCCGGGCCCUGCCUGCUGUGGUGCCCCAGCAGCAGGGAUGCUUGGUCUCAGACAG